This 516-nucleotide ribosomal RNA is filed under the name uncultured bacterium. Its description in RNAcentral is "partial 16S ribosomal RNA". It matches the Rfam family "Bacterial small subunit ribosomal RNA", at positions 357 to 864 of the family's 1533-position model. The record is from RNAcentral.
UGGGAAUUUGGACAAUGGGCGCAAGCCUGAUGCAGCCAUGCCGCGUGUGUGAAGAAGGCCUUCGGGUUGUAAAGCACUUUCAGCGAGGAGGAAGGUGGUGGACUUAAUACGUUCAUCAAUUGACGUUACUCGCAGAAGAAGCACCGGCUAACUCCGUGCCAGCAGCCGCGGUAAUACGGAGGGUGCAAGCGUUAAUCGGAAUUACUGGGCGUAAAGCGCACGCAGGCGGUUUGUUAAGUCAGAUGUGAAAUCCCCGGGCUCAACCUGGGAACUGCAUUUGAAACUGGCAAGCUAGAGUCUCGUAGAGGGGGGUAGAAUUCCAGGUGUAGCGGUGAAAUGCGUAGAGAUCUGGAGGAAUACCGGUGGCGAAGGCGGCCCCCUGGACGAAGACUGACGCUCAGGUGCGAAAGCGUGGGGAGCAAACAGAUUAGAUACCCUGGUAGUCCACGCUGUAAACGAUGUCGAUUUUGGAGGUUGUGCCCCUUGAGGCGUGGCUUCCUGAGCUAACGCGUUAAA